AUUGAACGCUGGCGGCAGGCCUAACACAUGCAAGUCGGACGAGUGGCGGACGGGUGAGUAAUGUCUGGGAAACUGCCUGAUGGAGGGGGAUAACUACUGGAAACGGUAGCUAAUACCGCAUACCAUCAGAUGUGCCCAGAUGGGCUUGGCUUGUUGGUGGGGUAACGGCUCACCAAGGCGACGAUCCCUAGCUGGUCUGAGAGGAUGACCAGCCAAACUGGAACUGAGACACGGUCCAGACUCCUACGGGGGGCAGCAGGGGGGAAUAUUGCACAAUGGGCGAAAGCCUGAUGAAGCCAUGCCGCGUGUAUGAAGAAGGUCUUCGGAUUGUAAAGCACUUUAAGUUGGGAGGCGUUACCAACAGAAUAAGCACCGGAUAACUUCGUGCCAGCAGCCGCGGUAAUA
Molecule: ribosomal RNA, 405 nt
Filed under: uncultured bacterium
Lineage: Bacteria
Description: partial 16S ribosomal RNA
Rfam family: Bacterial small subunit ribosomal RNA
Source: RNAcentral